GAUGCAGCGACGCCGCGUGCGGGAUGACGGCCUUCGGGUUGUAAACCGCUUUCAGCAGGGAAGAAGCUUUUUGUGACGGUACCUGCAGAAGAAGCGCCGGCUAACUACGUGCCAGCAGCCGCGGUAAUACGUAGGGCGCGAGCGUUAUCCGGAAUUAUUGGGCGUAAAGGGCUCGCAGGCGGUUUGCCACGUCUGCUGUGAAAGCCCGGGGCUUAACUCCGGGUGUGCAGUGGGUACGGGUAGACUAGAGUGCAGUAGGGGAGACUGGAAUUCCUGGUGUAGCGGUGAAAUGCGCAGAUAUCAGGAAGAACACCGAUGGCGAAGGCAGGUCUCUGGGCUGUUACUGACGCUGAGGAGCGAAAGCAUGGGGAGCGAACAGGAUUAGAUACCCUGGUAGUCCAUGCCGUAAACGUUGGGCACUAGGUGUGGGGAACAUUCCACGUUUUCCGCGCCGUAGCUAACGCAUUAAGUGCCCCGCCUGGGGAGUACGGCCGCAAGGCUAAAACUCAAAGGAAUUGACGGGGGCCCGCACAAGCGGCGGAGCAUGCGGAUUAAUUCGAUGCAACGCGAAGAACCUUACCAAGGCUUGACAUGGACCGGAUCGCUGCAGAGAUGUAGUUUCCCUUCGGGGCUGGUUCACAGGUGGUGCAUGGUUGUCGUCAGCUCGUGUCGUGAGAUGUUGGGUUAAGUCCCGCAACGAGCGCAACCCUUGUCCUAUGUUGCCAGCACGUAGUGGUGGGGACUCAUGGGAGACUGCCGGGGUCAACUCGGAGGAAGGUGGGGAUGACGUCAAAUCAUCAUGCCCCUUAUGUCUUGGGCUUCACGCAUGCUACAAUGGCCGGUACAGUGGGUUGCGAUACUGUGAGGUGGAGCUAAUCCCUAAAAGCCGGUCUCAGUUCGGAUCGAAGUCUGCAACUCGACUUCGUGAAGUUGGAGUCGCUAGUAAUCGCAGAUCAGCAAUGCUGCGGUGAAUACGUUCCCGGGCCUUGUACACACCGCCCGUCAAGUCACGAAAGUCGGUAACACCCGAAGCUCUAGGCCCAACCCCUUUGUGGGAGGGAGUGGUCGAAGGUGGGACCGGCGAUGGA
RNAcentral lists this ribosomal RNA (1088 nucleotides) under Nesterenkonia sp. RNAcentral describes it as "bacterial SSU rRNA". It matches the Rfam family "Bacterial small subunit ribosomal RNA", at positions 385 to 1478 of the family's 1533-position model. Lineage: Bacteria; Bacillati; Actinomycetota; Actinomycetes; Micrococcales; Micrococcaceae. The record is from RNAcentral.